Molecule: ribosomal RNA, 254 nt
Filed under: uncultured bacterium
Lineage: Bacteria
Description: partial 16S ribosomal RNA
Rfam family: Bacterial small subunit ribosomal RNA
Source: RNAcentral
UACGUAGGUGGCAAGCGUUUGUCCGGAAUCAUUGGGCGUAAAGAGCGUGUAGGCGGCUUGGCAAGUCUGGUGUGAAAUCUUGCGGCUCAACCGCAAGCGGUCACUGGAAACUGCCUCGCUAGAGUCCGGAAGAGGAGAGCGGAAUUCCUGGUGUAGCGGUGGAAUGCGCAGAUAUCAGGAAGAACACCCGUGGCGAAGGCGGCUCUCUGGGCCGUAACUGACGCUGAGGAGCGAAAGCAUGGGGAGCGAACAGG